RNAcentral lists this ribosomal RNA (424 nucleotides) under Funneliformis mosseae. Its description in RNAcentral is "eukaryotic LSU rRNA". It matches the Rfam family "Eukaryotic large subunit ribosomal RNA", at positions 348 to 628 of the family's 3401-position model. Lineage: Eukaryota; Fungi; Glomeromycota; Glomeromycetes; Glomerales; Glomeraceae. The record is from RNAcentral.
GUACCGUGAGGGAAAGAUGAAAAGAACUUUGAAAAGAGAGUUAAACAGUACGUGAAAUUGUUGAAAGGGAAACGAUUGAAGUCAGUCAUACCAACGGGAAAUCAACCUUUUGAGCUCGGUCUCGUGGGUUUUGAAGAGUUUCAAAGCCUUCGGAUUCGCGGGAUUGGGAUCUCUCGGUGUACUUUCUCGUACGGUUAGUCAACAUCGGUUUUGAAUGUCAUAAAAUGACUGGAGGAAUGUAGCUUCGAUCUCGUAUUGAAGUGUUAUAGCCUUUGGUAGAUGUGAUGUUUGAGACCGAGGAUUGCAACGGAUACCCUUCAGGGCUAUUCGUCUGAUCUCUGAUACGUUGCCCUGAUGUUGAAAGCUUGCUUAUGAUGUUAGGGUAUUACGGUCAAAAGGUUAGAACUCAUUAGAUUCGUUAAGG